This 390-nucleotide ribosomal RNA is filed under the name uncultured bacterium. RNAcentral describes it as "partial 16S ribosomal RNA". It matches the Rfam family "Bacterial small subunit ribosomal RNA", at positions 523 to 916 of the family's 1533-position model. The record is from RNAcentral.
AUACGGAGGAUCCGAGCGUUAUCCGGAUUUAUUGGGUUUAAAGGGUGCGCAGGCGGCCAUUUAAGUCAGCGGUUAAAUCGUGGGGCUCAACCCCAUUCUGCCGUUGAUACUGGGUGGCUUGAUUGCGGUCGAGGUUGGCGGAAUUCGUUGUGUAGCGGUGAAAUGCAUAGAUAUGACGAAGAACACCGAUUGCGUAGGCAGCUGACCAGACCGCAAAUGACGCUCAUGCACGAAAGUGCGGGGAUCGAACAGGAUUAGAUACCCUGGUAGUUCGCACAGUAAACGAUGAAUACUUGUUUUCGGCGAUAUAAUGUCGGAGGCAAAGCGAAAGCGAUAAGUAUUCCACCUGGGGAGUACGCCGGCAACGGUGAAACUCAAAUGAAUUGACGG